UUCUUUUACGUUUACUUUUCUGCAUUGGCUAGAGGUAUAGGGGGAGGGUUGAGAUCUCACAAACAUGUUUAACCCCGCCGCAUUAUUGUGCCUGUCCCAAGUCAGGAGCCUCUGGCCUUUGUUAGUCUUGUAUUAUUUUAACUUUUAGUUUCUUGUGUACAAUUUGGAGUUUAGUAUGGUGUUCAUUAUCAUUGAACCAGUAUAUAUUUGUUUAGGGGCCAGCUGAAGGACGCCUCCGGGUGCGAGAAUUUCUCGUUGCAUUGAAGACCUGUUGGUGACCUUCUGCUGUUGUCUGCUCUAUGGUUGGGUUGUUGUCUCUUUGGCACAUUCCCCAUUUCCAUUCUCAAUUUUAUCAUAU
This 358-nucleotide long non-coding RNA is filed under the name Mytilus galloprovincialis (Mediterranean mussel). The record is from RNAcentral. Lineage: Eukaryota; Metazoa; Mollusca; Bivalvia; Mytilida; Mytilidae.